Heterocephalus glaber (naked mole-rat) is the source of this 461-nucleotide non-coding RNA. Lineage: Eukaryota; Metazoa; Chordata; Mammalia; Rodentia; Bathyergidae. The record is from RefSeq and is a predicted model, not a curated record.
UUUAUAUAAAAUUAUAUUUAUUAUAUAUUUGAUUACAUUUUAGGGUAUACAAAUAUACAAAUUUUUUCUAUAAAACAUUUAAUCUGGACUGAGUGUCAACAGUAGCAGUAAAAUUCCAGAAGCAGCUGCAAAGUUUAUUAAAACAAUAACAUAUAACAUUUUUCCUACCAUUUCUUUUGUGUUUCUCAACCCCAGAAAACCACACCUGCCACUCAUGUGGAAUAACAUCUUAUUUUUCAGACAGAAGAUACUGUGAACUUGGGCUAAAUUUAAGCAAAAGAGAUAAUUCUCAAACAGGAUUUUGGUAUUAUCUUACCGAAGCAGUUCAUCCUGGACUUCAAUCAAACGCUGCCUUUUCUUUUCCAUAUCGGAAAUCAUCUAGGGGAGCUGACAGGAACUGUCAGGAACUUACACAUGGACCAAGAAGCCCACAGCCCUGGAGGAAACAAGCUCAAAGGUGG